UUUCCGGUUGAUCCUGCCGGACCUGACUGCUAUCGGAUUGAUACUAAGCCAUGCGAGUCUUUGUAGUAAUACAAGGCAGACGGCUCAGUAACACGUAGUCAACCUACCCUAUGGACAAGAAUAAUCUCGGGAAACUGGGCAUAAUUCUUGAUAGAUCAUAAUGCCUGGAAUGGUUUAUGGUUAAAAUGAUUCGUCGCCAUAGGAUGGGACUGCGGCCUAUCAGCUUGUUGGUGAGGUAAUGGCCCACCAAGGCGAUUACAGGUACGGGCUCUGAGAGGAGAAGCCCGGAGAUGGGUACUGAGACACGGACCCAGGCCCUAUGGGGCGCAGCAGGCGAGAAAACUUUGCAAUGUGCGAAAGCACGACAAGGUUAAUCCGAGUGAUUUCUGCUAAAGAAAUCUUUUGCCAGUCAUAAAACCACUGGUGAAUAAGGGGUGGGCAAGUUCUGGUGUCAGCCGCCGCGGUAAAACCAGCACCUCAAGUGGUCAGGAUGAUUAUUGGGCCUAAAGCAUCCGUAGCCGGCUUUGUUAGUUUUCGGUUAAAUCCAUGUGCUCAACGCAUGGGCUGCCGAAAAUACUGCAUAGCUAGGGAGUGGGAGAGGUAGACGGUACUCAGUAGGGAGGGGUAAAAUCCUUUGAUCUAUUGAUGACCACCUGUGGCGAAGGCGGUCUACCAGAACACGUUCGACGGUGAGGGAUGAAAGCUGGGGGAGCAAACCGGAUUAGAUACCCGGGUAGUCCCAGCUGUAAACGAUGCAGACUCGAUGAUGCAUUGGCAUAAUAGCCAGUGCAGUGUCGCAGGGAAGCCGUUAAGUCUGCCGCCUGGGAAGUACGUACGCAAGUAUGAAACUUAAAGGAAUUGGCGGGGGAGCACCACAAGGGGUGAAGCCUGCGGUUCAAUUGGAGUCAACGCCGGGA
Molecule: ribosomal RNA, 917 nt
Filed under: uncultured archaeon
Lineage: Archaea
Description: SSU rRNA
Rfam family: Archaeal small subunit ribosomal RNA
Source: RNAcentral